GAGCGCCCCGGAUAGCAGCGGAAAUCCUUUGCCUUAGGCAAAGAUUGGAGCGUAUAGCCGGAAAUGGC
Molecule: small RNA, 68 nt
Filed under: Leptospira biflexa serovar Patoc strain 'Patoc 1 (Paris)'
Lineage: Bacteria; Pseudomonadati; Spirochaetota; Leptospiria; Leptospirales; Leptospiraceae
Description: Flavo-1 RNA
Rfam family: Flavo-1 RNA
Source: Rfam by way of RNAcentral